GGAGUGGGUAUAGCUCAGUGGCAGAGUACAUGCUUAGCAUGCAUGAGGUCCUGGGUUCAAUCCCCAGUACCUCCA
RNAcentral lists this transfer RNA (75 nucleotides) under Vicugna pacos (alpaca). RNAcentral's name for it is "tRNA-Ala (AGC) (tRNA-Ala-AGC-417-1)". It matches the Rfam family "tRNA". From Rfam's summary of the family: Transfer RNA (tRNA) molecules are approximately 80 nucleotides in length. Their secondary structure includes four short double-helical elements and three loops (D, anti-codon, and T loops). Further hydrogen bonds mediate the characteristic L-shaped molecular structure. tRNAs have two regions of fundamental functional importance: the anti-codon, which is responsible for specific mRNA codon recognition, and the 3' end, to which the tRNAs corresponding amino acid is attached (by aminoacyl-tRNA synthetases). tRNAs cope with the degeneracy of the genetic code in two manners: having more than one tRNA (with a specific anti-codon) for a particular amino acid; and 'wobble' base-pairing, i.e. permitting non-standard base-pairing at the 3rd anti-codon position. Lineage: Eukaryota; Metazoa; Chordata; Mammalia; Artiodactyla; Camelidae. The record is from RNAcentral.